This is a long non-coding RNA of Micropterus salmoides (largemouth bass), 8998 nucleotides long. RefSeq lists it as uncharacterized. The transcript has 3 exons. The record is from RefSeq and is a predicted model, not a curated record. NCBI's taxonomy places the organism in Eukaryota, Metazoa, Chordata, Actinopteri, Centrarchiformes, Centrarchidae.
AUAAAACCAAGUGACGCCUCUCCUGUCUAAUAGACAAGCUUAGUGAUUCUCCGACAACACCGGAGCUCCCGGUAGAUACUGCUUGUGAGCAGCACACUGGCGCACUAGGCUGUAACUCAGGAAAAGACUGGGCCUCUUUCGGACUGAAACUGGGGGCUCCAUACAUCUACCCACAAAGAGACAGCUCCUCCACUUAGAGUCUCAACUCCCACCGAUUCCCACCCAUCUUCCCACCAGCUGACACUCGUCUCCUCUUCUCUCCUACAUCCUCUAGUGCGUGGGCAGGUCGCUCCGGUCAGGCUUUGUAAAAAAAGGAGGAGGGCUCCCCAUGUGAAAAUAGCCUAUGUCAGACCAAACCAAGCUCAGAACAAAUGAUCCUACAGGGCCAUAAGCAAACAGUAGUGAGCUCAACACCACUGAAGGCCACAAUGCACACACGCACAGACAACGUUUUAGGGAUUCAGACCCUUUCUAUAGCCGCAACAACAAUAUGACAACAACCGUAAUCCAUAUCCAGCACAACAAUUUGGCCCACACACGGAGUCAGGAUGGUAAAAGAUGCUUUCACUCACCACUGGGCUCAUGUAAGGAGACAGUGCUGUUUAACAUUUUCCACAUUUAAUAAAGUUUAAUAAAUGUUAUGAUCUGACUGUCACUGAGCUCGUAGCUGUUUCCCCCCACCUGUUAUGCUGCUCAAUGGAGUGCCUGUUGGGCAGCGAUGUUUACCGCUUGUAGCGCUUGUAAGCUCAGUUUCACAGCAAUGUCAAUGAAUCCCGCUGUUGUCAUGUUUCGCAAUCCUCUCAGAAAGAUGAAGAUGAAGACGGGCACAGGAUGGUCUCCCUCGAAGCCAGAAGUACUUUCCACGAAACACACGGUGCAGUCAGGGGCUCCAGUGUCCGUACGACGUUAGCUUGCUGUUAGUGAUGGUGCUAACCUGUUGCUAUUUGCAGACUAGUAUAGCUCUUACACACAGUACAAUAUACAAAAUUGUGUAUCUGUGUGACAAAGUUAUUAUAAACUAGCCAGGCUUCUAACUGUCUCUGUAUUUUAAUUAAAUUACACUUUUCUUUCUUUUGCAGCUGUUGGCUAACUCCACAGAAAACACACACACACACACACACACACACUGCAGAAGGCUGACCGGUGUAAAUCCGUUCCUCUCUGCCUAUUAGUCAAGCAUAGCUAUCUACAUAGACGAAUCGGAGGGCUCUCUUAAAAUAAACAUCAUAGUCUGUCACUCCUCAGAGUCAGAGGUUACCCUCUUAAAGUGACAGAGCCUAAUAUGACAACACUUGUACGCUGCUAAGCACCUUUUAACUCAAACCCAGGGAUUACAUAAUAUAUACAGUAAGUGCAAGUAUCAUCAGAGUAAAUAUAGGAACCUUCCCGCCCAGAUCUGGGAUAUAACUGCCCAUUUCGAGUAUGGCUACAGAAACCGAUAGUGGUGUACUCGCUCAUCCCUAGUUACAACCUCUUUAAGCAGUCCCCUUGAAAAUGCUUGUAAUGUCACUGUACAAAAGACAGUCAGGUCACAACAAGCUCCAGCACUAAGAGAGGAAUCCUAGUAAGACACAUUGCAAUGCAAAUCAGAGAUAUAAGUAAAUAUGGUUGAGUCUCUGUUAUGGUAACACAUAUGUAAUGGUAAGACAUGGACAGAGUCCUAUAGUACUAAUUAAGUACAUAAAACAGUAAAAGAAAAAUAAAUCUAAAACCAGUGUAGCAGAAAGUAAAUAUAAACUAGUGCAGUGCCUGUCCACAGGGGCCAAUGUGACGCCUCUUCACUUGUAAGGCCUGUGCAUUACUAACUGCAUUAAAUGGACACUCUCACUUAUUUGACGACCCCUGACCUACAGCCUUAAUUACACUGAAGGAACACGACAAUGGCGGAGAUACCGCUAGAUAUUUAGCGCUUACAACUCUGUUUCAACACAUUCCUAUAUUAUUGCCUAUAUCGAACCUGGGUGAUGUUUUUUUUACAAUUCCACAUCGGAGCAUAUAAGCCCUGUUGCGGUGAGCAUACCCCACUCUCGCUGUUGCUGCUCAGCUCUGUUCUCUAUUAUAUUUAUUAAUUCUGAACAUGUUGUGUGUUAAAAUUGCGCCAAACACGACACUACACUCCCAUGGGCCCACAGCAACAUACCCGCCAUAUUUGAAGUCGAUUGGAUGAACAGUUCCUGACAUAAUCGAAAGACAGACAGACACAUAGAGAUUUCGGUCUUUAUUGGAGAGAUACAUACAGUACAUACAUGAAUGGACAUAUGUGCAUGCAUAUAUACAAUGUAAGUGUAAAUGUAACAUUAACAUACACAAAUUAUGCUGUAUACACAAGUGAAUAAACAUACAAUGCAAAUAUACGAAAUACCUACAUAUACAAUAAAAAAAUCACUGGGGGAUAAAUCACAUCAGUUAAGAGCAAGGCAUACAUGUUAUACCCAUCUUUAUAAAGUGAGUUAUUCAUUGUUAUCAGGUUUCAAACAACGUUCUUAGUCAUGCAACAUGUAUAAGUUUUUUUUUCCUACUAUUUUAAGUCAAGGCCUUUUUCUGAAAUGCCUUUGGGCACCACAGCAGGGAGAAGAGGAAGAAGAUGCAUCAGUUUACUCCAAAAUAACAGUUUUCCUCCACCCUUGCGUACCCAGUUAUUGUAAGAAAAGUGAUGUACUGAUGGCUGUCAAAUCUUGGUGGGAAAGGUUCCUCCCACGUCAUGACAAAAUGUCCUUUAUCUUAAUACAGCACACUGGACGGGUUGGAACUAAGAAGAACUCAACCCACGUAAUGAGUCUUUUGAUCUAGCCUCCUGAGAAAUCAUUUAGACCAGUGGUUCAUUCAUGUGUCCCUAUAUAUUAUGGUUGUUUGGAGAGUAUCGUAACAGUAGCAGCUGCAGGAUGUCAAUCAGAAAAGACUCUGAGGAAGUGUCUAAUUGUGAGCUGUGAAACUAUGUGUUGUAAAAGCAAUAGCAUAACUGCAGCCAUUAUUGUAACAUCACUGUCAUCACUGUUCCCACUGUCAGGUGUCAGUAGCACCUAGGAAUAAAAUUUCCCAUCAACAGUUGAUGCCUAUAUUGACCUAUGUGCACAAAUUGCUUGCUUUAAAGCCCUGGAUCUCAUUGCACUAAAUUAACACAAGAUGUCUUCCAUGUACUUUAAACUAAUUUCACUGACAGUAACUAUUUAGUAGUGAAGCUUGUGACUUGUUUUAAGGUCGCCCUGUUGUCAUCUGUCACAUGACAAUGGGGGUACUUUGCGUCGCACUUGAGUCUUCCUCCACAGACAGAGAACUUAAAUUUCCUCUCAGAGCUAAUAGAAAUUUAACUCUGCCCAUAACUCCGCUGAGUCCUCGAGGCUCAACACUAGGCAGGGCCCUGGAGGAAAUAGCUUCAGAUGUCAUUUACUUUACUGUUCUCGUCUUAUCUUUUUCAUUUCUUCCCCCUUCCCUGCUCCCAUAUCUUUUCAUGAUGUUUGCUGUCAUUGGCAGUGGCUUGAGUGGCCACGUCGCAGAAAUAUUGAUUUAUUCCCUCCCUUUAUUCCUUUUUCCCCCUCCACUUCAACCCCCUCCUCCUUCUCCUUCCUUGUGUUGCAUCUGAGGCUCAGGGGUUGACGCACAACCAACACACUUCACUGGCAGCUCAUCCCGCUUCAUUCUUUCGCUCCUUCCCUUUUUUUGUUCUUCUGUCUCCCGAUUUCUUUUCCCUGAGACUCGAUUCUGACGUCACGUUGUGGCUUUGCUGUCUUCGAAAGCACUCUCCAUUAUGGAGUAGCUGAGAGUAGGUGUAGGGGGUAUGGUGGGGUGGGGGAGUUUUUCCUCUGCCAUCACUUCACUGUAUUCUUCCCUACAUCCAUCAAAGCAGCACGGGUCCGUGUUCAGGCACUUGGCUCGCUGUCGACCUCAGCCACUGACGACUCAUUCCCCCUGACAACACACAAAUAACUAUAAACUUUUGCUAUUAGUGAGGUCGCUGCAAAGUGAAAUGUCUUUUCCUCAGAGUGUUGUUGAGAUCUUCUUCUCUGCAAGAGAGAAAAGUGACCAGGAUUCCCAAUCUUUGUUUCAAGUGAAAAAGCAAAAGAGGCUGUUAAAAUUAUUUUUCUGCUGCAGUACAUUCUAGUGGUGGACCAAUAUGGGUUUUGCAGUGGCUGAUCUCAAAAUGACAGAUAUCGGCCCAAUUAAUCUGCUGUCUGAUUAAUCGGUCUAUCACUAGUACAUUGUGUUCAUAUUGGCUAUGAAGUGGCAUUUCACAAAUUUCAGAAGAACGACACAUUUCCUUAUUUCUUUAAGAUGAAUUAUAUAUUUAACAAUAGGUGGAUUGUUCCAACAUUAUUUGAUAUAUUAUUAAAUCUUUUAGGAAGUGAGUUGAAUUGAAAAUGGCCAGAAGUGACUAAUUCAGCUAUCAUCACCUAAGCUAUGGAAAACAACACUAGCUUUGUACCACUCCCUGGCAUCUCUUGUACUCUCUUGGACCACAAUGGACUUGGAGCCUACAAGGCUUCUCGUUCAUUAUUGUAGGAAGGGGGAUAAGGACCCUUUUAUGACCCUUGAUAAAGUGCACAAAAAGGGUAAAUAUGUCAAUCUGUCUUUGUCUCUCAUACCCCAUCGGUCUGAUUUUCAUAGUGUCUUUUCUAAAGGUUGAUUGACAACAGCCACUAAAGAAAAUGCUAAGAUCUGGGAACACAGCGUUUUUACAUGACAGUCCAAUAGGGAAAAAACACAUUAAAAACACUUGAGGUGAGGUAAUUGAAAAUGUCAGCAAUAAUCUGUCGUUGCACUGGAAAACUGUCACAACCGUGACAAGUACUACAGGUUAACAUUAGCCAGUAAGUCAGUCUGUAAACUGUGAUGGAUGUUUACAAUGAGCAGUAUGGGUAAUGAUUUUACCAUUUACGUUUGUUUUCCCUUUUAAAUAAAUUUGGCUAGCCCAAGUGAACACUGCAAUUUCAAUGAUAUUCCCUCCAUAACCCUUCACAUCAUGCUAGCCCUUAGGAGACCAGGGGCGAAUGCAACUCUACUCCAUGCUCAAAAAUACAUAUCAGUUGCCAUGACUGCUUUGUUUGAUUACUAAUGUGUAUUGAAAAUAAUGUCUUCCCACCAAACAGAUGCCCAGAGUCUGCUGCUGAAGAGGACAUUAGCAUUGUUGCUUUACUAGCUCCCAUUAGCAGUAAACAAAUGCACCUGUCUCUGUUUACCAUCUCUGCUAUAUUGCCUCUGACAACGCACCGACGCCAAGUCAUAAACACAGAGGAGGAGCAAUUCAUCUUUAUUGCAUGUAAUCAUUCUAAACAUCCACAUGGGCUAUCUGUCCCUCUAAGACAGGUAGGGAGGUAGCCAAAUAAUAUCCCCCCUGUGGCUGAGGUUCAUCAUUUCGCCUGAGUGAUCCCGUUGGUCCAGAAGUAUGUCAAGUUUACCAUGUGGGUUUAUAGUUAGUGUUUUUAUCUCUUUCUGUUGAAGUUGCCUAUGUGGCAUUCACCAUGUUAACAGCAGGUGAUGUACUACGUGUGAUAUAAUGGCUUUUAUUAGUGAGCAUGAUUAAAGUCAGCCGGGAGGGGGAACGGGCAGGUGCUGGGCUGAUGAGCAGAGUGACAGUGUUAAUAGACUGAGGCUCCAGGGAGGUGGCCCCCGUUUGCAGCACCAAUCUGUCUUGAUUUUUGCACAUUGCCUUCUUCAAUUACACUAAGUGUUUAGCUCUAGUCACUGGCAACCUCGGCAUGCAUACACCGUCGCUGGGGAUACAGGAGCAUACCGUACAUUACGCAGAGUACAUUAUGCAUGAAAAUAAAAAACACAAGUCAGUCGUGCUAUCGUUUUGAAAUGUUAUCAAGUCACACUCUAACUUUUUUCCCCCCUGAAUUUGUUAGCAGCAGUGACUACAGUUCUCUGAUUGGAUAUGUGCUGGCCUCUAAUCUGUAGGAGCUGCUGCCCUAUCUCUAAGAUGUGUCCAUGCUCUUCGCUCAGCGAGAAGAGAGAGAUGAUGCAGAGAUAAGACAUUGAGGGAUACUCUUUCUUCACAGGGACACAGAGGGAAUUAAAGGUGUCCUCUCCCACCUGGAAAAAAAAGGUUAUUAUCUUCAUCCCCUAGCCUCUUCAGCUGACACCACGCAGCACCUUUACUCAAGAUAAGACCUAAUCUGGACUCUUGCUUAUGUCUUUAUUUACUUGUGUCAAGGUUAUGAGCUACAGCACACCAAACAUGCUGUCCCUAUUCAGUCAAACCUGACAACAGUGAGGAAAACAAAUUGAUGCUGUCUAUGUAUUAUGUGAGUGUAUAAUAAGGUAACUGUUCAAAGUAAACACGAACCUGCUGUUUGGUUUCAAAAGCCUCUUGAAUUCAGGUUAUCGACUUUUGCAAAGUGAAAGCAAGGGGAAUGCAACUGCACAUUAAUUAAGGACAUGGCGUCGGAGCUGAAUUCUCCAGUGAAACUAAUGUAAAUUAAGAGUAUAUUUGCGAGUGACAGAAUGAGAAAGACAUCAGCAGUCUUUUGACGAUUCUUUGUUCAAGCACCGAAUGAUCUUCUUGGAUUCGUCUUGACACAAUGAACAACCAUCGAGAGAACAGCUGUCAACAGAAAUGUACAUUCUACCAGGUACCGAUACAUAUGAACCAAAAUGGCCUAAGCAGCAAGUUGUCUUCUGUCUUAGAGUGAAUGUGGGUUCCUCCUCAGGAGAGAGUGGCUUGUUAUGUGGGAUGCUGAUGACAGGCAGUGAAUCUAAAUUCCUAUAGAUUGUUUCUAUAACCUUUCUCAACUGAGGAAUAACAGAGACGUGAUCCCAGCACCACUGCUCUUUAGAUUGCUCCCUUGCUGUCACUUGACACAAAUAAGACAGUGACGCCUGGGAUGUGGCACUGCUUACCUCUGCAUCGAGCGGGGGGAACGUGCCAUCUUUUGACCCCCUGAUGCAUUUCAGAAAAGGUCAAGCUGACAGUCGUCAUCUCAUCAAUCCGCUGUUGUGACUCUGUCAAUCUUCCCUGGGACCCCUCCGGAGGUGGGGUGGUGGGUGGAGAGCAUUAGAGAACAAAUUUACCCAUUCUGAUUCUUCACCACCCACCCUUUGUUUGCCUUAGAGAGAUGGACGGGUGGUGGUGGGGGGGGGGGGGUUGACCUUCGUGACCACCUUAUCUUGUGGAAAGGUCACAGCAAGGCCUCUCGAAAAUCAGAGGGGUGGGGAGGAUCGAUCUGGAGGCUUUCUUUUAUUUAUCUCAGUAGACAUGCUGCUCCUGGUGUUCUUCCAGGCCAAUGGUGAGGGGGAGAGAUAACGAUCUAUUAGUGUUGCAGAUAUCCUCCUCCUUACCUCUCUCCCCCUGCAGCCCCCUCUGUCCCUUGCCUUCCCUGUCAGACACCCUAACUCUAUAGAGGGCCCUGGCCCCGAGCCAGAGGCAUUUGGUAGAAUGAAACUUGGAGGUCAUCGGAAUGAGAUGGUUGACAUCCCGGGGUCAACACGAUCAAGCCAUGUCAUUGCUUAAUACAGUGUAUGGAAGGGUGAGAAAUCAGGCCGCCCUGAUAGAGGCUGCAGAGCUAUUAGAACUGUAAGAGCAAGUGUGUGUGUGUGUGGAUGUGGGGGGGAUCACAUACACUUUUCUGUCCUGUCCCCUUUGACUUUUGCAGUGCAGUGUAUUAAUGGCCCGCUCUUAUCACCAUUUAUCAUUUGAACAGUGCAAUAUAUAGGAAGUGGUUGCAUCAGUAGAGGGAAAACAAAGGCAAGAUAGAGAUGUUACACAGUGAGAUGAUUGUGUCGCUGAGAGCUUGGAUGAUUUAAUUAAAGAGUUUUCCAUUCCGCUGUUUUCAGGUCUGCGUUUUCUUUGGAGAUGGAAAAGGAAACAAAUGACUCAUUGACAUUGCUGCUGACUCACACAUAGCUCAAGAUGUCUUAAGUCCCUAGCACUGAUGAUAUUCAUGCAGCACACACAAAUGUGAGUGCACAAACACACAAUCACAAGUCUACUUUUAUUUACCAAAACACCACUUUAGUAUGCACAUAACACUUUGGCACGUAGUAAAACCUCCCCACCCAAACAUGCUCCGAAUAUUUCUCCAUUACCCCACCAUCAUGGUCAAUUAGGCCCCACUUUCUCCACCUUUUAUCUCCUUAACCAGGGUCCUCAUCUGCUGCUUGUGUCACAGGGCCUUCAGAUAAAUAAUUCAGCAGAGGGAAUGGGGAGGGGGUGGGAUUUACAGCUCCUAUCUUACCCAGUUAGGCUGUAAAUUCUGAAUGAGGGGAAACAGGAGAAUAUAGUAGAGGAUAAGAGAAAAAGGGAGAAGGCGAAGGGAGAUGAGGGAGGAGAAGGGCUGUGGGGAAGUGGUCCCCUGGGGGCCAUAGUCUCACACAGGCAACAUCAUAAAGUCACCAUUAGAAUGCUGUAUUUAUAACAGUGGGUUUGCCUCGGGCUGUGGCUGUGAUACUGAGUCCUCCUCCCUCCAAACACACAUAUGCAUGCGCGCGCACACACACACACACACACACACACACGCACACACACGCUGUCUCUCUCACUCCGUCUCUAUGGAACACAAUAAUCACACAAGUAUAUCCCCCCCCCCACACGCACACACAAGCACACACAAACACACACACACAGCACCUAUAUCCACAUGAUGAUGUCUUUUUUCCUCUGUAUUAGUGGAGUCUCUUCAUAAAACACACACUGUGUCCCUAUAUAUGGUGUUCAGCAGGGCGCCGGCAUCUCAGAAUAUCAAUGGCUUAAUGAGGCGAGGGCUCUUUCUGAUGUGCCGCAACAUUGACUCUUUGAGGGGAACACGGCGAGUGAAGCGACUCUGUGAAGAGAUAACAACGACCCCCGAUGGACUGUUGGCCAUCUCGGAGCAUGCUCAGUAGUGCCUGACAUAAUGGCUGCCUGUAAUGAUAUAAGACAUGUCUGUGUAUGAGGAUCCUUACGCCUUUUGUCAACGCUGUAUCAUAACAUUUGAAAGGCUACUGAGGGGUUUUGCUUUAGGGUUAUUCUUGUUCAAGAUCUAAUAAAUUGAACUGAUUUUCAGUCUUUAUACUUCUUGGAUCA